GCUCUGGAGAGAGAGAGAGACAUUCAUCUUUGAAAAUGACAUCUCUGUUCCCAGAAACAUUCGUACGCUUGGCGGGAUCGCAGGGAAGAAGGAAGGGGAGAAGAGAAGAGGGUUCCCAGGCCCCAUCUCUCUUACCAAGCAAGCUUCCUUCCACCUCUCUCUGAUUCCUGAGGAAGCUGGGGGUGUGGGUCCCUUCCGCUUUCUCUAAUCAUGAGCGUCAGCUUAAUUUAUUGAAAUUUAUUUAAAUGGCUUAAUUCCUUCUCCCCACCAGAGUUGGGGGAGGGGGCAGGAAGGAGGGAGAAGAGAGACAUAAAAGGCAACGGACAGCGCCAGAGACGCAGGGCAAUGUGUUUGCAAAUGUCGGGGUGAGCAGCAAGUCAGUCGGCUGGCUUGCAGGGUCCAGUUCUCCCUGAGGCUGAGCCUCUACCCUUCAACCAGGUAACUGGCCUGCGACGGGGGACGCUCAGAGCACACGAAGGAAAAGGAAGAGGGCCGGAGCCGGAGAGGCAGGCUGCAUCACGUGGGGGCUGGGCCCCUCUCAGAGGGUGGGCUGCGGGCCGUACCACUGCCUGCUGUUGGUGGUGGGGGAGGAGGGCGCAAGGGCCGGCCCCGGGGAAGCGGCAGCGGCCUGGAGCGAGGCCAGAGGGACUCCCCAGCUGUCGGACCUGGACGGGAGUCACAUCCCAGCCCGCAUACCUCUCCUUUCCCGUGGCUUGCUCUCUGCCGAUUUCCCUGCUCCCCCUCGUAAGUGGUACGACCCCCCCCCCCCAGUCUCCGUGCAGGUCUUCAGCCCGAACUGUGUGUGAGUUCCCACUGGCCGGGGGUCCCCGGAGCCUGUGGGACCGGAGCUGUGGGAGGGGCUGCCCAGCACCCUUCCCGAAGCGCAGGUCACGGAAGGAGGGCGUGCGGAGGGGGCUGGCUGCGAGGGAGCCGCAAGGACACCCGGGGGAGAGCUGGAGAGGUUGGCUCCCGGCCAGGCGAGCUGGACCAGGAGAAGCAGAGCGAAAGCGUGCAGGGGCGGGAGAGCCGCGGCGGGGGCGGGGCAGCCAGGGCUGCAGAAGCCCUCGGGGUGACCCAAGCGUCCAGAACCCCGGGCCCCUCCGCUUCGGAUGGAAAGAAUCGCGAGAACCCGCACGUAGGCGAGGAGCCGUGGGGGCGGGGAGUCCUGUGCGAAGGGGGCCAGGCAGGAGCCGAGCGCCAGGCUCAGCCCCUCAAACGGCCCCCUGCCCUCGAAAGCAAGGAGACUCGGCUUUCCGGGCAAAGAGGAAGGAAGCGAAGCACAGCCCCGCAGCUCUUGUCGCCCCGGCCCACCUCCUCCGCUCUGGGGCCGCCCCCUCCUCCCCAGGCUCGUUGGCCAGGGUCCCCCGGCCUCAGGUAGAAGGACUUCCGGCCCGGGACCCCGCCCAGGCCACACUCACCUGGGCCGCGGUCCUGUCGCGUGGGCCGUCCCCCGCACAGUCGCACCUUGGACAGCAGGAUGAGGAGCUGCUUCUGGCAGAGAGACUUGGUGCCGCGGGGACACACGCGCCGCUGCGCCGACACGGGCCGGCUGCCCCCGGGCUCGCGGACCUCCCGCUUCUGUCGGAUCAGGCUACUGGCCAGUGCCGCCAUAGCGCCCCGGGAGGAGACACCCCCAAACCGGCAGGCUCCCCCAAAGGAGCCCUCUCACCAGGGCAUGCUCAGGACCCAGCCCACCGCCCCACCCGCAGGACCUGAGGAUAAGCCCAGACCCCCGAACGUCCCCCCAAACCACCGGCUCCCCCAGUCCUGGGCCCUGCUCUAGCUCCGCAGCCUGUGCACCACUCGGCUGACCUCACCCGUGAAUUGUGUCCCUCAAAGAGGGCUCUCCCUUCUCGCCUCUCUCCCCACCUCUCUCUCCCCGAGUCAGGACCCUCCUGUGUGUCCACGCCGGGCUCAGGGUCCGCAGGCUUCUUCCCACCCUACCUGGGGGCGCUCCUGCCCAGCCCACUCCUGUAAUCUAAAGGGUGUAGGUCCCUGGCUUGGUGGACAUCAGCUCGCCCUGGCUGCUGUCAAUGUCAGAGGAUCCAGCCCUGGUGUUGUUCCCCUCUGCUCCACUCUACACGGAGUGGACCUCCCACUUUCUUCAGGUUCCCCCACAAACACGUCCAGGCUCACUGGGAGAGGGUGCCCAGACCCUCUGGCUGGAUGCCGCUCUUUCUCUCUGUCACCCCCAUUCUGGCAGCACAGGGCUCCAGCUGCUGGGAGCGUUUUCUCACCUUGUUACCCUCCUUUUGAAGUCACCCCCAAAUUGGCCUUUCCCAGCGCAUACGCCAGGUGGUUGUCUGGAGGACCCUCUGUCGCCCCAAACAAUGGGGCAUCGGUCGUUCUUGUUUGUUUUCCGCCCGCCCCUUAAAUUUCCAGAGGGACACCGGGCGCUACUUAAGAGCCCACACCCUCCAACCUAACCAGGCCCCCCAAAGAGGGGUGCACCCACGUCGCCACACUCCUCAAACGCGAACGGCCCCUUGACAAGUCAUAGCGCACCAGAGCCUCCUGCGACCUCCCUGGGACUAACACCCUGUCCUUUCCCCGACGCCCCUCAACCUGUCCUGUCCUGUUGAUCCGGGCGAUGGGGGCCGCGGGCUCCGGCUCCAGGCUCCUCCCUCCCUGUCUCCCGCAAGCCGAGGUUCCCCCCAGCGCCGGCCUGGGCGCCCUGGACCCCCAGGAGGGAGUGAGGCUGUCUCUGCAGAGCGCCCCGGUUCGGCAAAGUCAGAGCACUGAGCCCGGAGGCUGGACCAGGCAGAGCGGCGAGCGGCGGCGGCUGUGGGGAGCUCAGGCGGCGGCGGAGGCUCCCCCUCCUCGGCGAGCCGGCCCGGGGGCGGGGCAGGGGGCGGAGACGCCGGCGAGGAGGGAGGCGAAGCCGGGCGGGCGGAACCCCAGGGUUCCUCCGCAGCUCAGAGUGGGGACUGCCGGGCCCGGGCGGAGUGGAGGCAAGGCCUGCAAGCCUCGGGGCGCAGAGGAGACAGGGAGGCUGAUGUGGAGGGGCUGGGCGCACGGGGGAGAGGGAAUGGCAGACACAGAGAAAAUGUGAAGGGACCCUAGUGCCUGGGAGGGGAGUGAGGACAGAAAUGAAUGAGGAAAGUGUAUGUGGGGGCUGGGGUGGCUUUGCCACCCGGCCUUAACAUCUCUGCUUUGGUUUGAGUCAAACUGGUCAGAACCAGGUUUCCAAGAGCCGGCUCUUUCCCGCAUUUUGUCAGCAAAUGCAUCCCUCCCGGGAGUUCGCUGGAGACUCAGACUCAGGGACGGAAGGGGCGCCAGCUGGAUUUAGACAACUUGGGCCUCGGGCAGAGCUGGACGCGGGGAGACCUUUCGGAAGAGCGGCUUUGAGCCCGGGCGCCCACGGCCCGUGUGCGCGCCGAGGGAGACGCUGCCCAGGCCCCGGGGAGCAGCCUCUUUAAUGGGUCCCGUGCCCCACGCCCGCUAGCCCGCCCCCCUUGCGGGCCGCCUUGGCUUCCUCCACCGCCGCCCGCAAGGCCUGCGCGGGGUCCGCGCGGAGCUGGGCCAGCGCCCGGCGCAGGGCGGCGGCGCCCUGGCCCGCACGGAGCCUCCGGGCGCUCAGGAAGUAGUGGGGCAGUGUCCCGGCCUCGAGCACGCGGCUCAGCUCGUCCAGCAGCCCGAGGCAGCAAGCGCCCGCGUUUUCCGGCCGCGCCAGGUAGAGCGCGGGGAGCCGCUCGCACGCCCAGUAGAGCAGCGUCCGCAGGAGGUAGGGCGCCCCCGCCCGGGUCCCCGCCACCAGCGGCCGCAGCAGCGCCUGCGCCGCCGCGUGCGCCUGGAGCAGCGGCGCGGGCACGCGCGCCUUGAGCGCCAGCUCCUGGCGGGCGAAGCACAGCUGCCAGCCAGAGGUGCCCUGCCGCUCCGGGGGGCCGCCGGGCACGAGGUAGAAAGAGGCCGAGUCGGAGGCCAGAGGACCCGCCCACGAGUGGCUCCGGGCCGCGGCGGGCCAGCCUGCCACUGUCACCACCGGGAUCAGGUCGAAGAGCAGGAGGUGGCGUGGGGGCUCGGGAGUGGCCACGAGGACCGUGGUGACACCCGCGUGGCGAGCUGCGUGGACCAGCCGCGGGGCGCCAGGGACCGGGACCAGGGACUCUGCGACCUCAGCCAGCUUAACGAAGAACCACGACGCCACUUGGGUCGGGCAUAAGGUGGGCCAUGCCUCCGGCGCGCCCGACGCCUCCGGGACCGGGCUUCCGUCGGCAUCCAGGGCGUCACUGCUCGGCGUUUUCGGUGGUCCAGCAGCUUCAAGACUGGCGAUGUCGCCGCAGGGCGAGCGGGACCCUGAAAGGUCACCGGGUGAUUUUUCCAGAGACGCGCGCGGCUCAGGUUGUUCGGGGGCGUGAUCACGAGACUGGUCCACGGCGCUCUCCCCGUCCGUGGGGCCCUCUUUACUGUGGGUCUGGUUCAGAUCACCUUCUCUCGGGACAGGGGCUCCUAGGCAGUCCUGCCAGGCCUCCCGCACCGACGCUCCGCACAUCAGCUCUGGAAGGCGGAGCCAGGCGUGACAGGACUCCAGAUCCGGGAGCAGCUCGGGCCCGGUGCCAUCCAGAGAAAACACGGGCACGAGGAGCGUGAAGCCAGCAUCGUAAUGAGGUCCGCGGGCGUAGGGACCUAAAGGGGCCUGCCCCAAAUCUAGAGAACCUUCGCGAAUCCCGCCGCGGAGCAGCAGGAGCUCUGCCUGGGGAGGGAAACGAGGGUCCUGACGGUGAACGAGGCCUGAAGGGAGACAAGAAGGAUCGUGAAGGCGCCCCGGCCCAAAGCCGGGGUGGGGAACGGCGGGGCUGGGGUCUGCAGGUCCCCGCAGACUUACCGAGCAGAGAGAAAACGAAAUCCUUGGCCCGGAGAAGGUCGGCCCCGGGCUUGGGCCCUUCGCUCCACGCCUCCUGCACACCCAGCUCCUCGAUCAACUGGAUGCAGGGUGCGGCCCGGCGAAUCGGUUCACCUGACUCCGCAGGUAAAAAAAGGCUCUUCGGCCCCUCGGGGGAAAACAGUGGCCAACCUUCCUCACCAGCCUCUGUCCGCUUCCCCUUCCGCUGUUUCAGGAGGCCCACGGCCCGCGGGUUUCCGAGCCCAGGGCAGCUGAAAAGGCCGCGACCGUGAAGGAUUCCACAGGUAACUUCCUGGUGGUCACAGGUCCACGCCCUUUUCUGUUUGCUGCCCGGGUGGCUCCGGCUGGUUCCCGCCUCCUGGGAGAGAUCGGCCACGCCUUCCCCCUGCCGAGCUGUUGCCACCCUGGGAGUUGUAGUUCGUUGCCCGCAAGGUGUGUUGGAGCCGCGCCUACACACCCUUUCCAUGAAGUAGUGCCUACCGGAAGCUGCAGUUUCUUCUUCGCUCUCCACCGCAUACUUGUUUUGAGACUGGGCCCCACUGAGACGCCCUGGAUGGCUUGGCACUUGCUGUAUUGACAAGGCUAUCCUCGAACUCACAGAGGUCCACCUGGCUGGGACUCCUGAGUUCUGGUACAAAAGACCUUCAGCGCCUGCGCGCACGGCCUUGUUCCGUAGCCCAAGCUGGCCUGGAGCCACCACUGAACGCAGCUUCCUGGGUG
Long non-coding RNA from Meriones unguiculatus (Mongolian gerbil), 5563 nucleotides. RefSeq lists it as uncharacterized. Lineage: Eukaryota; Metazoa; Chordata; Mammalia; Rodentia; Muridae. The record is from RefSeq and is a predicted model, not a curated record. The transcript has 3 exons.